Long non-coding RNA from Neopelma chrysocephalum (saffron-crested tyrant-manakin), 426 nucleotides. RefSeq lists it as uncharacterized. The record is from RefSeq and is a predicted model, not a curated record. The transcript is spliced from 3 exons. NCBI's taxonomy places the organism in Eukaryota, Metazoa, Chordata, Aves, Passeriformes, Pipridae.
CUGAUCUCAGCCCAAGCUUCCGAAAUAAUGGCAGAGAAAGCACAGCCCCUUUCUCCAGGACAGGCACCUUGGGGCUGGGACCAUGCAAUGGCAGCAAUAUCCCCAUGAUGGCUCCCUGGUGACCAGGAGCAGCACAGCCAGGGCAUCACUGCACUGAGAGGGAAGGGACCAUCCCCGCCUGUCCUAAGCUCAGAGCUGAGAGCAUCACAGACAAAAUGCACUGGAAGCCAGACUGCUGCGUGUCUGUGCAGCUCACACUGCAGGCCACAGAGAUAUACUGUUCCAUGGAGAAAAGAUUGUGCCUGGUGACACCCCACCUCCCUGGCGCACUGGCCACUGCUGAUCCAGCCUGCGCAUCGAGGGGAGGCCCCGCUCAGGCGUGGAUUUCCUAUCCAAAUGCGAUACAGCUGUUUCUGCUUCCUCUCU